RNAcentral lists this ribosomal RNA (253 nucleotides) under uncultured bacterium. RNAcentral's name for it is "partial 16S ribosomal RNA". It matches the Rfam family "Bacterial small subunit ribosomal RNA", at positions 524 to 776 of the family's 1533-position model. The record is from RNAcentral.
UACGGAGGGUGCAAGCGUUAAUCGGAAUUACUGGGCGUAAAGCGUGCGCAGGCGGUUUGUUAAGUCUGUUGUGAAAUCCCCGAGCUCAACUUGGGAAUUGCAAUGGAUACUGGCAGGCUCGAGUAUGGUAGAGGAAGGUGGAAUUCCCGGUGUAGCAGUGAAAUGCGCAGAUAUCGGGAGGAACACCGGUGGCGAAGGCGGUUCUCUGGGCCUUACCUGACGCUGAGGAGCGAAAGCGUGGGGAGCGAACAGG